GAGUGCAAUGGCGCGAUCUCGGCUCACUGCAACCUCCACCUCCUGGGUUCAAGUGAUUCUCCUACCUCAGCCUCCUGAGUAGCUGUGAUUAUAGGUGUGCACCACCAUGCCUGGCUAAUUUUUGUAUUUUUAGUAGAGACGGGGUUUCACCAUGUUGGCCAGGCUGGUUUCGAACUCCUGACCUUAGAUGAUCCACGUGCCUCGACCUCCUAAAGUGCUGGGAUUACAGGCGUGAGCCACUGUGCCUGGCCCACGCCAGGCACAGUGAUAUUUAAAAAUGUGAUUUUUAAAUAUCACAUUUAAAAAUAUGUGAUAUUUUUAAAGAAUAUGAUAGCCCAGGCGCAGUGGCUUACGCCUGUAAUCUCAGCACUUUGGGACGAUCACUUGAGCCCAGGAGUUUGAAACAGGCUGCAGUCAGCUAUGAUCACGCCACUGCACUCCAGCCUAGGUGACAGAGACCCUGACUCUUAAAAAAAGUUGUGCUAGAAGACUUCAAGAUCUCCCCUAAAACUGUAUAGUCCUUUCCCUGGUGUUUUUGCUGAGCUAUAGAGUCCAGCCCUUUCUGUUACAGCAAUGAACCAUGAGAUUCAAAUACUGCUUUUUACUAAGUACUUACAGACUAAUGACAUAGGAGACCUCAUAGGCACCUGGCUGUUUUUAACCAGGCAGGCCUAAAUACACUGCCCAAGUGGCCCUUCUGUGUGGCAACAAAAUGGCUGUCAUAAAAUUGUGUCUGUGUGCAUUUAUCUUAUCACUGGGGGUGGUGAACAUUUGAGAAGGCACUUGACCUUUGAAAUGUGAAGUUUUAUGGAUUUCA
RNAcentral lists this long non-coding RNA (817 nucleotides) under Homo sapiens (human). Its description in RNAcentral is "long non-coding RNA NONHSAT238874". The record is from RNAcentral. Lineage: Eukaryota; Metazoa; Chordata; Mammalia; Primates; Hominidae.